GACCAUAAUCAUGUGAGGCACUGGUGACUGGGUUCAAUUUGCUAAAAAUCUAUGCAGCAGAAACAGCUGGGAACCAGAUAUGAAGGAUAAGGUGUCUGGAGGUUUUGACCAUACCAAAUGUCAAGAAUGAAAAGUUCACUGCAAGGGUUUGCUCUAUUUUGGAAUGUGAUACUCUGUAACCAUAUGGAAUAGUUAUAUCUAAGUUUAUAAAUUAUGGCCUUUAGUAGUAGUUAGCAUAUUCCGCUACAAAACAGCUACACUGCCAUUUAAGUAAUGCAGUAAUAUUGCUGUAAAUGCUUCUUUGAGAAGCGUAAUGAAUUUGAGACUCUUCUUCUUGUACGUAUAUCAAGAUAAAUAAUUGGCAAUCUGAAUGUAAAGGAAUUAUUGAUGUUUGUCUGGUACUGUCAUCGUAAAAGUAUUUCCAUUCAAAGACUGUUACUAUUGUGAUCAUACUUCAUAAGUCUUAUGCAAGAAUGUGGUAAUAAACAUUCCUAUACUAUA
This is a long non-coding RNA of Branchiostoma floridae (Florida lancelet), 501 nucleotides long. RefSeq lists it as uncharacterized. The record is from RefSeq and is a predicted model, not a curated record. The transcript is spliced from 2 exons. Lineage: Eukaryota; Metazoa; Chordata; Leptocardii; Amphioxiformes; Branchiostomatidae.